UAUUAAUUAUUAAUACUAUGGGUAUUUUGGUAAAUUGAUUCUCAUUCACAUUCCUCAUUUUCAUUUAUUUUGCCAAGUAAACACAUCAAUGGCAUUCCAGCACAUUCUUAUUUCCAUUUAUUUUUGUCAAGUAAACAUUGAAAUCUCAUUCCCAUUCCUUAUUCACAUUCCCAUCCCAUUCUCAUCCCACCCCAUUCGCAUUCCAGGAAGUAAAUGCACCAUUAAUCUUUUCAUUUAAUGAAUCAAUGCAUUUUUGUAAAGAAUCAUUUUCAUUUGAAAUUUCUAAUAUUUUCUUUUUAAGGGAUGCAUUCAUUUUUACCUAUUCUUAUCAAAUCAUCAUGCAAUUCUUUAAAAACAUUAUUUAAUGCAUCACAUGCUGGAAGAUCACUUACCCAUCAAGUUAAUCAAAUGAUUCUUCCCUGAUUGCCAUGGGAGCUAGAUUUGUCAUCUCUCUUUGCUUUUCAUCAUCACUCGUUUCCUUAUCGCUGUCAUCCUAUGUUGCUACCAUUGCCUUCUUCUUGAGCUUGUUGAGGAGAGGACACUCCGAUUGUAUGUGUUGAGGGUUUUUGCAUUCAUAGCAAAUAAUUGGCCCAUUCUUCUCUUUUUGAUUCUUGUAGUUUUUGAAUUUUCUCCGCUCGUUAGUUUUCUUGUAGAAUUUUAUAAACCUCCUAGCCAGCAUGGCUAUUUCCU
Molecule: long non-coding RNA, 690 nt
Filed under: Citrus x clementina
Lineage: Eukaryota; Viridiplantae; Streptophyta; Magnoliopsida; Sapindales; Rutaceae
Description: Citrus clementina (C. clementina) long non-coding RNA (CCLE_LNC005445)
Source: RNAcentral